This 73-nucleotide small RNA is filed under the name Candidatus Thiomargarita nelsonii. Its description in RNAcentral is "int-alpA RNA". It matches the Rfam family "int-alpA RNA". From Rfam's summary of the family: Acidobacteria (1 example), Planctomycetes (1 example), Proteobacteria. The record is from Rfam by way of RNAcentral. Lineage: Bacteria; Pseudomonadati; Pseudomonadota; Gammaproteobacteria; Thiotrichales; Thiotrichaceae.
CGUUCGGCUAGGGAUGUGCACCCCGAAAAACCGAAAAUCAUCUGGCGGCCUGCCGAACGAUCAUUUAGCCAGA